UUGAAAUACAGAUAGGGACCACACAUCUCAAAGAACUUCCAGUUACAGGAAGGAGAGGACUAGAAGGAGCUGGAUGUCGACUCUUGAGUUUCCUUUCUGGAUCGUGCCACCAGCAGUCAGUUGUCUAGAUGGGAAGAGUGUUUCCUGCCACCAUCCAGAAGAACAAUCAAAAUCAGAUGGAAACAUCGCAAUACAAAGGAUUGAUUAAUGGCCCUAUCGCAUUUUAGAAAUAUCACAUGCAAG
Long non-coding RNA from Trachemys scripta elegans, 243 nucleotides. RefSeq lists it as uncharacterized. NCBI's taxonomy places the organism in Eukaryota, Metazoa, Chordata, Testudines, Emydidae. The record is from RefSeq and is a predicted model, not a curated record. The transcript is spliced from 3 exons.